Long non-coding RNA from Trifolium pratense (red clover), 2030 nucleotides. RefSeq lists it as uncharacterized. The record is from RefSeq and is a predicted model, not a curated record. The transcript has 5 exons. Lineage: Eukaryota; Viridiplantae; Streptophyta; Magnoliopsida; Fabales; Fabaceae.
UUUUUAAACAAAACACUGAACCUUUUUAAUCACCGUCUUAAGUGUCUUAUGUGGACGAAUCAACCUUACACGUGAACCAUAAUGUUCAGUUGCCUGUGUUACAUAUUUUUUCUAAGCUUUAAUUUGGUGAUCUGUUCUCAUAUUUGAAUUCUUCACAUUUCAUUAUAGUUGUUUCAGCAUCCACACUUGAUUCCUUUGUUUGUGAAAGCUUAUGGUGAGGUUAUCAUAUUCUUCCAGUGCUGAUGUUUUUGUGAGUUUGUGUAACGUUUUACUCUGUGGUUUAACAUACAAAAUUCUGGAGUAACUCUUCCCUUCCCAAGCGGGCUAAGAGAUUUUGAUGUCUAGAAUGCGUUCAUAAAAUGGACAAGAGCACAGAGCCAAUAGUUUUCAUUUGGUGAUCUCUAUGAGCAAUGAAGUUUCGAUGGAAUGCCUUGAUAAAAUGGACCAAGAACAUGGAGCGUAAAGUUUUAAUUUGGUGAUCUCUAGUAAAUUCAUUUUGUUUCCAUAUAGUUUUUUUGAUAUAUCUUGUCAAACUAUUGAAAAUAAAAGAAUAUCAAAAUAUCCGUUUAUCCGUUUAUACAUUGCAGGUAGCUGAUUUCUGGAUAUCUGGAACAAUUUAAUAUUAUAAUAAAAACGAUGAUAGCUACAGAUGCAUACUCAAAUUUCAUUGACCAUUCGUUCUUUCUGAUUUUUAUUUUUGGGCUUUGAUUACAUUACACUCAAAUUGAACCGUGAACUUUUUUUUCUGCAGCAUGGUUUAUCAAAAUAAAAAAAAUGUUGAUCUUUCAUCAAGGCAUGGAGACCUCAAGUUUUGAUUUGCUUCUCUCUUUUUUAAUUCUUUUAGUUUUCAAUAACUCCAUCGCUUUUGAAUGCAUAUUUUCUUGAUAUUUUAUUUCCUUCGAUGUUGCAGGGAGGUAAUUUGUGAACACUGAUUCCUUCUGUUACUGGUUCUAUCUUUCUAUUGUUUGAUCUUCAUAUCUUUCUGUUGUUUGAUCUUCAUGUUUUGUAUUCUUAUUUUUUUCUGGUCUUUUGAUUUUGUUCUGGCUUAGACCGCCAUACAUGUGAAUUGAAAUAUGACACGCUGUUUUCUGCAGUGUAGUUUGUUUUGAAACAAUAACAUUCUAAGUAGCAUCAAGCCUCAGGUUUAUUUUGCUACCAUGUACUUGGGUUGUGAACUAUUUUUAUUUUAAUUUCUAUUCUUAUUGUCUAGUCGAUUUACUUCUUUGUUCUAUGUUUGACUUUUUUUAUCUGAAUUCUGACAGUGCAAAAGUUUACACGAUUCUAUGUUUGUCUGAUGAUUUGGUCGUUGGAAAAGGUUUUAUAUUAUCUUCUUUUAUUGGUUUGAGUGGUUUCAAUUGUUAUUAAUGAUUUCGAUGAUGAUUGAUACAGAUGAUACUCCUAAAAAGAUAUCCUUUUGGUUACAGUGGUCCGGGACUCCUCUGUGUAGGAGGAAGCCAAAAUUGUGUCACACAUCAUGUGCAGGCUUUAAUUGGGUUAUCUCUUCUAAGACUCUUUAUAUUUCAGUCUACGUUGGAUACUUAGCAUCUACUUUUGUCAGUUUCAUUUAGUUUUCUUUGUGGGUGAAACAGGAGAUAAAUGUGUCGGGUGCCGGUGGAACCUGAGGCAGACAAAGGUUCUCAUACUUUUUUUGUGCUUUAGGAAUAUCGGUAUUACAUUUUCAAAACAACGCAGGCAGAUACUGCACGAACGAGUAGCUAAUCUAUGGCCUCCAGGUGAUGCUGUAGUGGGGGGAGGGAAAUCAAUGAAAGAGAACGGUGCAGCAGGUUAAGGAAGGAACCGAACAUCACUUCUUGAUAUUGGAAAUGUGGUCACUCUAAAAGGUGUUGAAGUCAAGCCAAAUCGCCCUGUCACAAGGUUAGUGAUGAUGACCCCCUAUUUGAUUUUGAUGAUUCUUUAGUUGUGUUUGUCACAACUACUUGCCAAUGCUCAAGCAGCAGCAGUUAAUGAGAAUAACAAGGUUCUCUUAUAUUAUUUGUUGAAUCUUUUUCUUUUAAUUGAUUUAAUUUAAU